CCUACGGGUGGCAGCAGUGAGGAAUAUUGGUCAAUGGACGAGAGUCUGAACCAGCCAAUUAGCGUGAAGGAUGACUGCCCUAUGGGUUGUAAACUUCUUUUAUAUGGGAAUAAAACGUUCCACGUGUGGGAUUUUGUAUGUACCAUAUGAAUAAGGAUCGGCUAACUCCGUGCCAGCAGCCGCGGUAAUACGGAGGAUCCGAGCGUUAUCCGGAUUUAUUGGGUUUAAAGGGAGCGUAGGUGGAUUGUUAAGUCAGUUGUGAAAGUUUGCGGCUCAACCGUAAAAUUGCAGUUGAAACUGGCAGUCUUGAGUACAGUAGAGGUGGGCGGAAUUCGUGGUGUAGCGGUGAAAUGCUUAGAUAUCACGAAGAACUCCGAUUGCGAAGGCAGUUCACUGGACUGCAACUGACACUGAGGCUCGAAAGUGUGGGUAUCAAACAGGAUUAGAUACCCCUGUAGUC
RNAcentral lists this ribosomal RNA (460 nucleotides) under uncultured bacterium. Its description in RNAcentral is "partial 16S ribosomal RNA". It matches the Rfam family "Bacterial small subunit ribosomal RNA", at positions 338 to 795 of the family's 1533-position model. The record is from RNAcentral.